Molecule: ribosomal RNA, 484 nt
Filed under: uncultured bacterium
Lineage: Bacteria
Description: partial 16S ribosomal RNA
Rfam family: Bacterial small subunit ribosomal RNA
Source: RNAcentral
AUUGAACGCUGGCGGCAGGCCUAACACAUGCAAGUCGAGCGGAUGAAGGGAGCUUGCUCCUGGAUUCAGCGGCGGACGGGUGAGUGAUGCCUAGGAAUCUGCCUGGUAGUGGGGGAUAACGUCCGGAAACGGGCGCUAAUACCGCAUACGUCCUGAGGGAGAAAGUGGGGGAUCUUCGGACCUCACGCUAUCAGAUGAGCCUAGGUCGGAUGAGCUAGUUGGUGGGGUAAAGGCCUACCAAGGCGACGAUCCGUAACUGGUCUGAGAGGAUGAUCAGUCACACUGGAACUGAGACACGGUCCAGACUCCUACGGGAGGCAGCAGUGGGGAAUAUUGGACAGUGGGCGAAAGCCUGAUCCAGCCAUGCCGCGUGUGUGAAGAAGGUCUUCGGAUUGUAAAGCACUUUAAGUUGGGAGGAAGGGCAGUAAGUUAAUACCUUGCUGUUUUGACGUUACCAACAGAAUAAGCACCGGCUAACUUCGUG